UGGGAAAUCCUCCUUACUAUGUGUAAGCAU
RNAcentral lists this non-coding RNA (30 nucleotides) under Rattus norvegicus (Norway rat). The record is from RNAcentral. Lineage: Eukaryota; Metazoa; Chordata; Mammalia; Rodentia; Muridae.